CGGUAGUGCUACCAUGCAAGUCGAACGGUGAAGCAGAGCUUGCUCUGUGGAUCAGUGGCGAACGGGUGAGUAACACGUGAGCAAUCUGCCCCUGACUCUGGGAUAAGCGCUGGAAACGGCGUCUAAUACCGGAUACGAGCUGCGACCGCAUGGUCAGUAGCUGGAAAGAAUUUCGGUCAGGGAUGAGCUCGCGGCCUAUCAGCUUGUUGGUGAGGUAAUGGCUCACCAAGGCGUCGACGGGUAGCCGGCCUGAGAGGGUGACCGGCCACACUGGGACUGAGACACGGCCCAGACUCCUACGGGAGGCAGCAGUGGGGAAUAUUGCACAAUGGGCGAAAGCCUGAUGCAGCAACGCCGCGUGAGGGAUGACGGCCUUCGGGUUGUAAACCUCUUUUAGCAGGGAAGAAGCGAAAGUGACGGUACCUGCAGAAAAAGCGCCGGCUAACUACGUGCCAGCAGCCGCGGUAAUACGUAGGGCGCAAGCGUUAUCCGGAAUUAUUGGGCGUAAAGAGCUCGUAGGCGGUCUGUCGCGUCUGCUGUGAAAACCCGAGGCUCAACCUCGGGCCUGCAGUGGGUACGGGCAGACUAGAGUGCGGUAGGGGAGAUUGGAAUUCCUGGUGUAGCGGUGGAAUGCGCAGAUAUCAGGAGGAACACCGAUGGCGAAGGCAGAUCUCUGGGCCGUAACUGACGCUGAGGAGCGAAAGGGUGGGGAGCAAACAGGCUUAGAUACCCUGGUAGUCCACCCCGUAAACGUUGGGAACUAGUUGUGGGGUCCAUUCCACGGAUUCCGUGACGCAGCUAACGCAUUAAGUUCCCCGCCUGGGGAGUACGGCCGCAAGGCUAAAACUCAAAGGAAUUGACGGGGACCCGCACAAGCGGCGGAGCAUGCGGAUUAAUUCGAUGCAACGCGAAGAACCUUACCAAGGCUUGACAUAUAGAGGAAACGUCUGGAAACAGUCGCCCCGCAAGGUCUCUAUACAGGUGGUGCAUGGUUGUCGUCAGCUCGUGUCGUGAGAUGUUGGGUUAAGUCCCGCAACGAGCGCAACCCUCGUUCUAUGUUGCCAGCACGUAAUGGUGGGAACUCAUGGGAUACUGCCGGGGUCAACUCGGAGGAAGGUGGGGAUGACGUCAAAUCAUCAUGCCCCUUAUGUCUUGGGCUUCACGCAUGCUACAAUGGCCGGUACAAAGGGCUGCAAUACCGUGAGGUGGAGCGAAUCCCAAAAAGCCGGUCCCAGUUCGGAUUGAGGUCUGCAACUCGACCUCAUGAAGUCGGAGUCGCUAGUAAUCGCAGAUCAGCAACGCUGCGGUGAAUACGUUCCCGGGUCUUGUACACACCGCCCGUCAAGUCAUGAAAGUCGGUAACACCUGAAGCCGGUGGCCCAACCCUUGUGGAGGGAGCCGUCGAAGGUGGGAUCGGUA
RNAcentral lists this ribosomal RNA (1419 nucleotides) under Microbacterium sp. NE2TTS3. RNAcentral describes it as "bacterial SSU rRNA". It matches the Rfam family "Bacterial small subunit ribosomal RNA". The record is from RNAcentral. Lineage: Bacteria; Bacillati; Actinomycetota; Actinomycetes; Micrococcales; Microbacteriaceae.